This is a long non-coding RNA of Macrobrachium nipponense, 289 nucleotides long. RefSeq lists it as uncharacterized. Lineage: Eukaryota; Metazoa; Arthropoda; Malacostraca; Decapoda; Palaemonidae. The record is from RefSeq and is a predicted model, not a curated record. The transcript is spliced from 3 exons.
CGAGUGAGUAAGUUGGGCAUUCGACGGCAGACUCUUUUAGCAGUUGGCAGUGAAGAAAGCCCAAGGGGAGGCACACAAGAUCUACAUAUAAGUCGACCCCUGAUAUUCACGGACUCCAGAUCAGAGGUCUCACAUAUUCGCAGAUUUCUCUACAGACCUUAUAGUUCAAGAGUGUCCUAAGGAUAUUCCAAGAUGAGCAUACCUGUCCCUGCAAAAGUUUCAUCGAUGUUACCAUUUCCUGACACCGCCUAUCAGCCUCCUGGACCUGACGCCGAAGGUGGUCUUUCUC